AUUAAUAAUAAAAGGAUAAAUUUACUUUCACGAAAAAAGGUGAGCUAAAUACACAUGGUAUUUUAUAUGUGUGGUAUAAUAUAUAUAAAAUGUGUAUUUAGGGGUGAUAGGCUUUCCAAACUUUUUGAUAACUUGAUGCGUAUGAGAUGUAUUUAGUACGAUAGUCAUAUUUAAAAAGUUAAGCUUUUAAAUAGUUAUUAAAAACAUUAAUCAUCUUAGGCACAGAAUAAUAACUAGCAUUAUAAUAUUCUAACAUUUAUUAUGUAAAUUUGUAUAUAAUAAUACGCCGCUAAGUUAUUUAUAAGUUGAUAAUGUUAAUAUUAGUAGUAGUUGUAAGUAUGUUUAAGGAACUCGGCAAAUCUACCGCUCAACUGUUUAUCAAAAACAUAGCUACAUGAAUGAAUGUGUAGUGAUUUCUGCUCCAUGAUUAUCAAAUAGCCGCAGUACCCUGACUGUGCAAAGGUAGCAUAAUCAAUUGGCUCAUGAUUGGGGUCUAGCAUGAAUGAAAGCAUGGGUGGUAACUGUCUAAAUGUAUUUAUAUUAACUUAAUAAAUAAGUGCAAAUGCUUAUAUUUAUAUAAAAGACGAGAAGACCCUAGAAGCUUAAUUUUAUUUUGUUGGGGCGACAGGAUUACAUUUAACUUAUUUUAUUUAACAUGACAUUUUAAAGUAAGAGUAAGCUACUCUAGGGAUAACAGCAUAAUUUAAAUAGUUUGUGACCUCGAUGUUGGACUAGGUAUUAUAUCCCUUAGGUAGGAAUAUUUAGUGCUCUGUUCGAGCAAAUUUACCUACAU
Molecule: ribosomal RNA, 793 nt
Filed under: Helix godetiana
Lineage: Eukaryota; Metazoa; Mollusca; Gastropoda; Stylommatophora; Helicidae
Description: partial large subunit ribosomal RNA
Source: RNAcentral